This is a long non-coding RNA of Xiphophorus hellerii (green swordtail), 281 nucleotides long. RefSeq lists it as uncharacterized. The transcript has 2 exons. The record is from RefSeq and is a predicted model, not a curated record. NCBI's taxonomy places the organism in Eukaryota, Metazoa, Chordata, Actinopteri, Cyprinodontiformes, Poeciliidae.
UCGGAUUCCGGUAACCAGCUGCAGGCUUCUUAAGAAGCGGUGGAACCACCAGUCAUCGCUCGAUGGUUACCACUUGUUGACCUUGAUCCCGCUUCCCGGAGCCAAGCCUGGAACUUCACCGGUCAGGCGCGUCUCGCUGGUUGGCACCUCCAAGCCGUUCUGAUCCGCUGCGGCCCGGGACCCCCGAACCUACCUGGACUCUCGUUUCCUCCUGACGUCCUCCAGUCUCAAUUCUCGAACCAUCGUUUGACCUCAUUAAAACAAACCCUCUUAACCGUAAA